Podarcis lilfordi (Lilford's wall lizard) is the source of this 77-nucleotide non-coding RNA. The record is from the annotation of a GenBank genome assembly. NCBI's taxonomy places the organism in Eukaryota, Metazoa, Chordata, Lepidosauria, Squamata, Lacertidae.
GGUUAGCUCAGUCAGUAGGGCAUGAGACUCUUAAUCACUUAAUCUCCGGGUUGUGGGUUCAAGCCCUGUGUUGGACA